RNAcentral lists this ribosomal RNA (474 nucleotides) under uncultured bacterium. RNAcentral's name for it is "bacterial SSU rRNA". It matches the Rfam family "Bacterial small subunit ribosomal RNA", at positions 335 to 803 of the family's 1533-position model. The record is from RNAcentral.
ACUCCUACGGGAGGCAGCAGUGGGGAAUUUUGGACAAUGGGCGAAAGCCUGAUCCAGCCAUGCCGCGUGCAGGAUGAAGGCCUUCGGGUUGUAAACUGUCUUUGUACGGAACGAAAGCCUCUUUCUAAUAAAGAGGGGUCAUGACGGUACCGUAAGAAUAAGCACCGGCUAACUACGUGCCAGCAGCCGCGGUAAUACGUAGGGUGCAAGCGUUAAUCGGAAUUACUGGGCGUAAAGCGUGCGCAGGCGGUUUUGUAAGACAGAGGUGAAAUCCCCGGGCUCAACCUGGGAACUGCCUUUGUGACUGCAAGGCUGGAGUGCGGCGAGAGGGGGAUGGAAUUCCGCGUGUAGCAGUGAAAUGCGUAGAUAUGCGGAGGAACACCGAUGGCGAAGGCAAUCCCCGUGGGCCUGCACUGACGCUCAUGCACGAAAGCGUGGGAGCAAACAGGAUUAGAUACCCCUGGUAGCGACUGA